This 23-nucleotide small nuclear RNA is filed under the name Arabidopsis thaliana (thale cress). RNAcentral describes it as "snRNA_06536". Lineage: Eukaryota; Viridiplantae; Streptophyta; Magnoliopsida; Brassicales; Brassicaceae. The record is from RNAcentral.
GAGGAAGAUCUUCAGCAGACCUU